This 253-nucleotide ribosomal RNA is filed under the name uncultured bacterium. RNAcentral describes it as "partial 16S ribosomal RNA". It matches the Rfam family "Bacterial small subunit ribosomal RNA", at positions 524 to 776 of the family's 1533-position model. The record is from RNAcentral.
UACGUAGGAUGCGAGCGUUGUCCGGAAUUAUUGGGCGUAAAGAGUUCGUAGGCGGUUUUCUAAGUUUGGUCUUAAAGACCGGGGCUCAACCCCGGGAAUGGAUCGAAAACUGGGAGACUCGAGGAUGUUAGAGGAAAGUGGAAUUCCAAGUGUAGCGGUGAAAUGCGUAGAUAUUUGGAGGAACACCAGUGGCGAAAGCGACUUUCUGGGACAUUUCUGACGCUGAGGAACGAAAGCUCGGGGAGCAAACAGG